RNAcentral lists this ribosomal RNA (440 nucleotides) under uncultured bacterium. Its description in RNAcentral is "partial 16S ribosomal RNA". It matches the Rfam family "Bacterial small subunit ribosomal RNA", at positions 338 to 795 of the family's 1533-position model. The record is from RNAcentral.
CCUACGGGAGACAGCAGUGGGGAAUAUUGCACAAUGGGGGAAACCCUGAUGCAGCGACGCCGCGUGAGUGAAGAAGUAUUUCUGUAUGGAAAGCUCUAUCAGCAGGGAAGAAAAUGACGGUACCUGAGUACGAAGCCCCGGCUAACUACGUACCAGCAGCCGCGGUCAUACGGAGGGGGCAAGCGUUAUCCGGAUUUACUGGGUGUAAAGGGAGCGUAGACGGCAGCACAAGUCUGGCGUGAAAUGCCCGGGCUUAACCCCGGAACUGCCUUUGAAACUGUGCAGCUAGAGUGCAGGAGAGGUAAGUGGAAUUCCUAGUGUAGCGGUGAAAUGCGUAGAUAUCAGGAGGAACACCAGUGGCGAAGGCGGCUUACUGGACUGUAACUGACGCUGAGGCUCGAAAGCGUGGGUAGCAAACAGGAUUAGAUACCCGAGUAGUC